UUCAUUUGUAUUCUUAGGUGUGUC
This 24-nucleotide non-coding RNA is filed under the name Arabidopsis thaliana (thale cress). The record is from RNAcentral. Lineage: Eukaryota; Viridiplantae; Streptophyta; Magnoliopsida; Brassicales; Brassicaceae.